This 3008-nucleotide long non-coding RNA is filed under the name Salmo salar (Atlantic salmon). RNAcentral's name for it is "lncRNA (ENSSSAG00000121636.1)". Lineage: Eukaryota; Metazoa; Chordata; Actinopteri; Salmoniformes; Salmonidae. The record is from RNAcentral.
CUAGCCUGAAAUGAGAUUCAAGUGGAUAACCAGGCUUCAAAAACACCAGUCACAAGUGUUGAUGAACAUUUGCAUUUUAAUAUUGUUCAAAGGAAUUUAUAAAAAAUAACAAAUACAUGGACAUACUGACAAGGUUAAAAUAAAACAAAUUUAGAUGGGGGAAAACACAGAAUGGCAUCUCACACAUAUCUGAGUAUGUGUGAGAGUAUGCAGUGGAAACAGUUUGCAGUCAGUUCUCUCUCCGUUUCCUGCCCGUCACUCAUAGUUUACUCUCAUGGUUUACAUUUCCUUUUGCAACAGAUAUGCUGCUCAUAUGAAACCUCAAAAUGGUAAAUGUCUUACAAAAAAAUACUUUAUACGACAAAAUAUAUGUACAGCGUAAACACUGCUUUGCUCCAAAAUAAAAUACAAAUAAAUGUCAGUUUCCUUUCAUAGGUUAGAACAAUGUAACAUGUUGAAGCAUAAUGUAACAGAUGUUUGAAAGUCCUGAAGAAAUAUGUUUUAUGUUUUUGUGAUCUGUAUUUGACUUUAUUUAUGUAAGUACGCAGUUAAAUCAACUACAAAUACUGCAAUCUACAGUAGGACAGAGUCAUGAAAUUGUAUUCCUUACUCUCUAUUGAAUAUGUACACAUACGUAUUGCGGACUACUUUAAGUGUAAUAGGAAUUCAACAGUAAAGAUACUAUCCACAAUCAAGUAAAAUGCUUUUGAAUAUCUGUUAGGUCCAAACAUAUACAGUACCAGUCAAAAGUUUGGACACACCUCAUUCAAGGGUUUUUCUUCAUUUUUACUAUUUUGUACAUUCUAGAAUAAUAGUGAAGACGUCAAAACUAUGAAAUACCAUAUAUUGAAUCAUGUAGUAAUCAAAAAAGUGUUAAACAAAGAUUCUUCAAGUAGCCACCCUUUGCCUUGAUGACAGCUUUGCACAAUAUUCGCAUUCUCUCAACCAGCUUCCUGAGGAAUGCUUUUCUGGAAGGAGUUCCCACAUAUACUGAGCACUUGUUGGCUGCUUUUCCUUCACUCUGCGGUCCAACUCAUCCAAAUCAUCUCAAUAGGUUUGAGGUCGGGUGAUUGUGGAGGCCAGGUCAUCUGAUGCAGCACUUCAUCACUCUCCUUGGUAAAAUAGCCCUUACACAGCCUGGAUGUGUGUUUUGGGUCAUUGUCCUGUUGAAAAACAAAUUAUAGUGCCACAAAUAGCAAACCAAAUGGGAUGGCGUAUCGCUGCAGAAUGCUGUGGUAGCCAUGCUGGACACUGACAGUGUCAUCAGCAAAGCACCCCCACACCUCUUCCUCCAUGCUUCACGGUGGGAACAAACAUGUGGAGAUCAUCCAUUCACCUACUCUGCGUCUCACAAAAACACAGCGGUUGGAACCAAAAAUCUCAAAUUUGGACUCAUCAGACCAAAGGACAGAUUUCCACUGGUCUAAUGUCCAUUGCUCGUGUUUCUUGGCCCAAGCAAGUCUUUUCUUCUUAUUGGUGUCCUUUAGUAGUAGUUUCUUUACAGCAACUCGACCAUGAAGGCCUGAUUCACGCAGUCUUCUAAACAGUUGAUGUUGAGAUGUGUCUGUUACUUGAACUCUGUGAAGCAUUUAUUUGGGCUGGUCCUCAUGAGAGACAGUUUCAUCAUAGAGCUUGAUGGUUUAUGCAACUGCAAUUGAAGAAACUUUCAAAGUUCUUGAAAUUUUCCUGAUUGACUUAAAGUAAUGAUGGACUGUCAUUUCUCUUUGCUUAUUUGAGCUGUUCUUGCCAUAAUAUGGACUUGGUCUUUUACCAAAUAGGGCUAUCUUCUGUAUACCACCUCAACCUUGUCACAACACAAGUGAUUGGCUCAAACGCAUUAAGAAGUAAAGAAAUUCCACAAAUUAACUUUUAACAAGGCACACCUAUUCAUUGAAAUGCAUUCCAGGUGACUGCCUCAUGAAGCUGGUUGAGAGAAUGCCAAGCGUGUGCAAAGCUGUCAUCAAGGCAAAGGGUGGCUACUUUGAAGAAUAUCAACAAAAAAAUAUAUAUUUUGAUUUGUUUAACACUUUUUGGUUACUACAUUUUUUAAUGAUUUUUGGGGGGUGGCAGGUAGGCCAGUGGUUAGAGUGUUGGGCCAGUAACCAAAAGGUUGCUGGAUCAAAUCCCCGCGCUGACAAGGUAAAAAUCUGUCGUUCUGCCCCUGAUUAAGGCAGUUAACCCACUGUUCCCCAGUAGGCUGUCAUUGUAAAUAAGAAUUUGUUCAUAACUGACUUGCCUAGUUUAAAUGAAGGUUAAAUGUUUAAAAAAAACAUGAUUCCAUAUGUGUUAUUUCAUAGUUUUGAUGUCUUCACUAUUAUUCUACAAUGUAGAAAAUAGUAAACAUAAAGAAAAACCCUUGAAAGAGUAGGUGUGUCCAAACUUUUGACUGGUAUUGUAUGCCAACAAGGAUUUUUACAAGAUAUUUUCACGGAAUUGCACAGGCUCAUGACACAAUUUGUGGAACUUGCUUCUAUUCUAAAGCUUGAAAUUGUCCUGCCAAUGACAUUGAAAAGGGAUCACACACUUGCAUUUUUUGAAACAAUAGAAGGCCCCAUAUACAAAGUACGUUUAUAUAUGUCCAUAUUAAAUGAUAAAUGCUAGUUUCACUCAUUCAUUUUGAAUGGAAUAGCCAUUAUAUACAAACUAAAUUAACUUAUACAGUAUAUAUUGUCUUAAAGUAUGUUAUGCACCUCUGUUGAUGAAACUUUAAAAGCCUUUAAAGCCCCAGUGCAGUCAAAAGCAUAAUUUUCCUGUUUUAUAUACACUGCUCAAAAAAAUAAAGGGAACACUUAAACAACACAAUGUGACUCCAAGUCAAUCACACUUCUGUGAAAUCAAACUGUCCACUUAGGAAGCAACACUGAUUGACAAUACAUUUCACAUGCUGUUGUGCAAAUGGAAUAGACAACAGGUGGAAAUUAUAGGCAAUUAGCAAGACACCCCCAAUAAAGGAGUGGUUCGGCAGGUGGUGACCACAGACCACUUCUCAGUUCUUAUGCUUCCUGGCU